CCUUCACUACGGAAUAGCCUCUGGAAACGGAGAGUAAUACCGUAUGCGCCCUUCGGGGAAAGAUUUAUCGGUGAAGGAUUAGCCCGCGUCUGAUUAGAUAGUUGGUGGGGCAACGGCCUACCAAGUCGACGAUCAGUAGCUGGUUUGAGAGGAUGAUCAGCAACACUGGGACUGAGACACGGCCCAGACUCCUACGGGAGGCAGCAGUGGGGAAUCUUAGACAAUGGGCGCAAGUGAUCUAGCCAUGCCGCGUGAGUGACGAAGGCCUUAGGGUCGUAAAGCUCUUUCGCCAGGGAUGAUAAUGACAGUACCUGGUAAAGAAACCCCGGCUAACUCCGUGCCAGCAGCCGCGGUAAUACGGAGGGGGUUAGCGUUGUUCGGAAUUACUGGGCGUAAAGCGCGCGUAGGGGAUUGGAAAGUUGGGGGUGAAAUCCCGGGGCUCAACCCCGAACUGCCUCCAAAACUAUCAGUCUAGAGUUCGAGAGAGGUGAGUGGAAUUCCAAGUGUAGAGGUGAAAUUCGUAGAUAUUUGGAGGAACACCAGUGGCGAAGGGGCUCACUGGCUCGAUACUGACGCUGAGGUGCGAAAGUGUGGGGAGCAAACAGGAUUAGAUACCCUGGUAGUCCACACCGUAAACGAUGAAUGCCAGACGUCGGGGGGCUUGCCUUCGGGUCACACCUAACGGAUUAAGCAUUCCGCCUGG
This 703-nucleotide ribosomal RNA is filed under the name uncultured bacterium. Its description in RNAcentral is "bacterial SSU rRNA". It matches the Rfam family "Bacterial small subunit ribosomal RNA", at positions 130 to 876 of the family's 1533-position model. The record is from RNAcentral.